This 514-nucleotide ribosomal RNA is filed under the name uncultured Glaciecola sp. RNAcentral describes it as "bacterial SSU rRNA". It matches the Rfam family "Bacterial small subunit ribosomal RNA", at positions 523 to 1035 of the family's 1533-position model. The record is from RNAcentral. Lineage: Bacteria; Pseudomonadati; Pseudomonadota; Gammaproteobacteria; Alteromonadales; Alteromonadaceae.
AUACGGAGGGGGUUAGCGUUGUUCGGAUUACUGGGCGUAAAGACGCGCGUAGGCGGUUUGUUAAGUGUGAUGUGAAAGCCCAGGGCUCAACCUUGGAACUGCAUCACAUACUGGCAGGCUAGAGUACGGUAGAGGGGGGUAGAAUUCCACGUGUAGCGGUGAAAUGCGUAGAGAUCUGGAGGAACAUCAAUGGCGAAGGCAACUCCCUGGCCAAAGACUGACGCUCAUGUGCGAAAGUGUGGGUAGCGAACAGGAUUAGAUACCCUGGUAGUCCACACCGUAAACGCUGUCUACUAGCUGUUUGUGGAUUUAAUCCGUGAGUAGCGAAGCUAACGCGAUAAGUAGACCGCCUGGGGAGUACGGCCGCAAGGUUAAAACUCAAAUGAAUUGACGGGGGCCCGCACAAGCGGUGGAGCAUGUGGUUUAAUUCGAUGCAACGCGAAGAACCUUACCUACUCUUGACAUACUAGAAACUUUUUCAGAGAUGAAUUGGUGCCUUCGGGAAUCUAGAUAC